This 383-nucleotide ribosomal RNA is filed under the name uncultured eukaryote. RNAcentral's name for it is "partial 18S ribosomal RNA". It matches the Rfam family "Eukaryotic small subunit ribosomal RNA", at positions 592 to 976 of the family's 1831-position model. The record is from RNAcentral.
CAAUAGCGUAUAUUAAAGUUGUUGCGGUUAAAAAGCUCGUAGUUGGAUCUCGGCAGGCAGGGGGUGGUUCGCUCUUAGCGCUACUGCCCCAUUUGCCUGUGUGAUUGGCGGAGGUUUCGGGGUGCUCUUCGUUGAGUGACCCGGGGCGCCGUCAGGUUUACUUUGAAAAAAUUAGAGUGCUCAAAGCAGGCUUUUCACGCUUGAAUAUUCGUGCAUGGAAUAAUGGAAUAGGAACUCGUUUCUAUUUUGUUGGUUUUCGGAAAUCGAGUUAAUGAUUAAUAGGGACAAUUGGGGGCAUUAGUAUUCAGACGACAGAGGUGAAAUUCUUGGACCGUCUGAAGACUAACUACUGCGAAAGCGUUUGCCAAGAGUGUUUUCAUUAA